CCUACGGGAGGCAGCAGUGAGGAAUAUUGGUCAAUGGGCGCUAGCCUGAACCAGCCAAGUAGCGUGAAGGAUGACUGCCCUAUGGGUUGUAAACUUCUUUUAUAUGGGAAUAAAGUGCAGUAUGUAUACUGCUUUGCAUGUACCUUAUGAAUAAGGAUCGGCUAACUCCGUGCCAGCAGCCGCGGUAAUACGGAGGAUCCGAGCGUUAUCCGGAUUUAUUGGGUUUAAAGGGAGCGUAGGCGGGUUGUUAAGUCAGUUGUGAAAGUUUGCGGCUCAACCGUAAAAUUGCAGUUGAUACUGGCAGCCUUGAGUACAGUAGAGGUAGGCGGAAUUCGUGGUGUAGCGGUGAAAUGCUUAGAUAUCACGAAGAACUCCGAUUGCGAAGGCAGCCUGCUAGACUGUAACUGACGCUGAUGCUCGAAAGUGUGGGUAUCAAACAGGAUUAGAUACCCUAGUAGUC
This 460-nucleotide ribosomal RNA is filed under the name uncultured bacterium. Its description in RNAcentral is "partial 16S ribosomal RNA". It matches the Rfam family "Bacterial small subunit ribosomal RNA", at positions 338 to 795 of the family's 1533-position model. The record is from RNAcentral.